GAAAUGCGAUAAGUAGUGUGAAUUGCAGAAUUCAGUGAAUCAUCGAAUCUUUGAACGCACUUUGCGCCCCUUGGUAUUCCAUGGGGCAUGCCUGUUCGAGCGUCAUUUGUACCCUCAAGCUCUGCUUGGUGUUGGGUGUUUGUCCCCGUCUCCGCGCGUGGACUCGCCCCAAAGUGAUUGGCAGCCGGCGUACUGGUCCCGGAGCGCAGCACAUGUCGCGCAAACGAGUGCCUUGGUACGGCGGCGUCCAUAAGCCCCUCUCUCACGCUCUUGACCUCGGAUCAGGUAGGGAUACCCGCUGAACUUAAGC
RNAcentral lists this unclassified non-coding RNA (310 nucleotides) under plant metagenome. RNAcentral's name for it is "partial contains 5.8S ribosomal RNA, internal transcribed spacer 2, and large subunit ribosomal RNA". The stretch from base 1 to 105 matches the Rfam family "5.8S ribosomal RNA", at positions 50 to 154 of the family's 154-position model. The record is from RNAcentral.